CCGGGGUUUCUUUACCAGGUACUGUCAUUAUCAUCCCUGGCGAAAGAGCUUUACGACCCUAGGGCCUUCAUCACUCACGCGGCAUGGCUAGAUCAGGCUUGCGCCCAUUGUCCAAUAUUCCCCA
This 124-nucleotide ribosomal RNA is filed under the name uncultured bacterium. RNAcentral's name for it is "partial 16S ribosomal RNA". The record is from RNAcentral.